Molecule: non-coding RNA, 412 nt
Organism: Pelobates cultripes (western spadefoot toad)
Lineage: Eukaryota; Metazoa; Chordata; Amphibia; Anura; Pelobatidae
Source: the annotation of a GenBank genome assembly
GGCCCUGAAACGCACACGUGUGAAGGAAACGGACUGCUAUUAUAUUACAGUCCAAAAAGUUUUGUUUGUUUUUUUAAAUGCAAGCUAUUGUGACACCCAGAGGCGGCUCUAGACUUUAUGAGGCCUUAGGCGAAACUCAAACAUUAGGCCCCACUAACAAAAAAAGUGUCACAUAUAUACAAUGAUGCACAGUUUACCUGUGUAUGUGCCUAAAAGAGUGUGUCUGACAGAGUAUCCUUGUGCGUGAAUGUAUGCCUGUGAGCAUGUUUGCGUUUUUGUCUGAGACCCUAUGUGUAUCGGGUAGCUGCUUGAAGUGUGUUGUGUGUAUGGGGGUUGAUGGUGAGAAAGGCGGGUGAUGGUGAUGUGAGAAAAGAAGGAGGGUGGUGAUGCUGAGGGUGGUGGAGGGGGUGGU